RNAcentral lists this long non-coding RNA (441 nucleotides) under Prunus dulcis (almond). RNAcentral describes it as "sRNA ncRNA". Lineage: Eukaryota; Viridiplantae; Streptophyta; Magnoliopsida; Rosales; Rosaceae. The record is from RNAcentral.
CAAUAUAAAAGCACUUAUGAAAUCUUAUUUAUAGAAAUCAUCUAUAUAACUCAUUAUAUAAAAUCAUUCAUGAAAGAAAGUCCACUCACAGUUGGUCCGAGCUAGCUGGACCCUUCGAAGGUCCCUCCUGCGGGUCGAUCGGACCCCUGGUGCCUCACACGACUGAUUUGGUGGCCGGAUGAGGGAGAAACUGAGGUUGGAAAAUCUGCCAAAACUGCUGCGUUUUUCAGCAGUUUCCGGCGGCUCCAGACAGCAGCAGGGGCGGCGGACGGGCUGGGGUUGAUGGCGGGAGCUGGCCGGUGCUGCUGGGUCCGGUCCGGAGGGUCAGGGUGGCGUGAGGUGGCGUCGGGGUGGCUUGGAAGGUGGCGGCCCGACUAGUUUUCUCAAACUGUCGGGAGAGAGAGAGAGAGAGAGAGAGAUAGAGAGAGAGAGAGAGAGAGA